CUGUGGUAAUUCUAGAGCUAAUACAUGCUAAAAAUCCCGACUUCGGAAGGGAUGUAUUUAUUAGAUUAAAAGCCAACGCCCUUCGGGGCUUCCUGGUGAUUCAUAAUAACUUUUCGAAUCGCAUGGCCUUGCGCCGGCGAUGGUUCAUUCAAAUUUCUUCCCUAUCAACUUUCGAUGCGAAGGUAUUGUCUUCGCAUGGUUGCAACGGGUAACGGAGGGUUAGGGCUCGACCCCGGAGAAGGAGCCUGAGAAACGGCUACUACAUCCAAGGAAGGCAGCAGGCGCGCAAAUUACCCAAUCCCGACACGGGGAGGUAGUGACAAUAAAUACUGAUACAGGGCUCUUUUGGGUCUUGUAAUCGGAAUGAGUACAAUUUAAAUCCCUUAACGAGGAACAAUUGGAGGGCAAGUCUGGUGCCAGCAGCCGCGGUAAUUCCAGCUCCAAUAGCGUAUAUUAAAGUUGUUGUGGUUAAAAAGCUCGUAGUUGAACCUUGGGCCUGGCUGGCCGGUCCCCCUCACCGGGUGCACUGAUCCAGCCGGGCCUUUCCCUCUGUGGAACCC
Molecule: ribosomal RNA, 560 nt
Filed under: Lomentospora prolificans
Lineage: Eukaryota; Fungi; Ascomycota; Sordariomycetes; Microascales; Microascaceae
Description: Scedosporium prolificans Eukaryotic small subunit ribosomal RNA
Rfam family: Eukaryotic small subunit ribosomal RNA
Source: Rfam by way of RNAcentral